This 842-nucleotide long non-coding RNA is filed under the name Cimex lectularius (bed bug). RNAcentral's name for it is "uncharacterized LOC112126657, transcript variant X2". Lineage: Eukaryota; Metazoa; Arthropoda; Insecta; Hemiptera; Cimicidae. The record is from RNAcentral.
AUCUUUUAUUAAAUGGUGUUUUGACACCUCAGACAGCUGUAAAAAAUGUAUAUAUACUUUCUUUACGUAUUAUAUACAUUAUGUAAUGAAUUCGUUUUACAUUAUUAUAUUAUCAUGGGAGUCAUUGUUGCUAUCACGGCUUUUCUCAAGGCUAAUAUUGAUUAGGAGAUCCCGGAGCAUGACAGGAUUGCAGAAAUGGGCAAUAAUGGCUAUGGAUUAGGCUAAUAGGUUGGUAUUUGUUUAUCGUGGUAUAUGUUUUGGAUUAGGUUUUUGUUGAAGGGGUGUUGACAAUAAUUUUGAGGACUUUGGAUUGGAAAUACUGUAUUCUUUGGAUGUUGGUUAGUUUAGCGGUGCCUCACUGUCUAGUUUAGUGUCUGGAUCUAACGUUUAAGAAGAAGGAGGUCCAUUGCACGAGUGUCUUCUCUACCUCUUUGGGGAUGGCAGAAAAGCCGAAGAAUUGUCUGUAUGAAAGUGUCCCUUGAGGCACUUUUAAACCGGCUGGCCAGGGGAUGUGACAAAUCUAUGCAUGUAUCUUUUUGCAAAACAUCUUGAAACCAUCUUCAUCCAAGAGCCAACACCAGCCACACACAAAGCAUAAAAAAGGUGCAUGAGAAUAAUAAAAAUACUGUUACUAAACCUACUGUCUCUACACAACUUCAUCCAGGGAGAGAGAUUGGUUGCAUAUAAGCUGAUGCAAGGAUAGGAUUCUAGAAGGCAUGAUUCACAGGUAUAACUUCGCAAAGAAGAACCAUCUUAAAAUACAAAACUUUGGACAUCAUCGAAGAGAAUAAAAGAAUACGACUUUCUCGGAACGAAAGAUGCCGAAACAAUUUUCCCAUAUU